UUCAUUUGAUUUUUUUUUUUGAAGGAAUUUGUCCAUUGCUCUCACAUCAUAUGUCUUGUAAAAUGUCAUGACUCGAAAAAAUGACUGUACUUUAUUUAAAUUAACUCGUGAAUGAAAGAAUCAUACUGCGGAACUAAUAUGAAUAAUAAUCAGGGCUUUUGAUCAAGAGCAGGCACCAUCCUCAAAGGCACAGCGUCAAUGAUCUGAAGCUCAUUGGGCGGAAUCAAAGUGUUAGUUUCUUCGGCUUUCGUCAUCUGCAAAAUGCAACAAAAAAAGAAAAAAGAGAAACCCAAAUAAAUAUACAAUUACAGAGAAAAUUGACUUAUCAUGGUGGUGAUAAAAGUGAAGAAAUAAAAUCUUUCUUGUCGUUUGAUUUAGUGGGUGCAUGUACGAUGUGGGGGAAUAGAGAGAGUGAAAUACAUUUUUUGAUGGCAAGUACAUGUAACUAGCAGUCCUUUAGUGUUAGGUAUUGUGUAAAUAAAAUAAAAUAAAUUAUACCUAGGACGUUGUAUAAGUUUAAAACAUGCAAUGACUUUUAAGCCAAAAAAAAAAAAAGUUUAUGUAAGGCUGAAAUAAACCUACCUCUUCUAAAUUAAUCUAUGCAUACAUGUUAAAAUAGAAACUCGUCCGCACUAACCCUAUUAUUAAUUUGAAAGGGACACAAGAAUAUUGUUGAUAAAGAAUGCUGGAGCAUUAGAUAGUAUUGGACCUCUCUCAACUCCAAAAGCUAACUUAAGAGGUAAGGUUUACCCUCACACUUAUAAAGUCACUAUCAGCCCCUUCCCCAACCAAUGUGGGAUAACCCCAAUAAUCUCCUCCUCACACACAGGGCUUGGAUCAAAAGCAUAGAUACCUAUUCUCUCAAUUAGACUAUUAGGUUGAGAUGUUGGUGAACCUGAACUUUAAUAUUACUGUUUGGUAGUCCUAUGCCUCUUUCAACCCCAAAAGCUAGCUCAAGGGGUGAGGCUUUCCCUCAUACUUAUAAAGUCACUACCGGCCCCUUGCACAACCGAUAUGGGAUAAUUGAAACAAGUAGCAAUUAUAGUUUAUCUAAUUAGAAUAAAAAGGACUUUUGAAGGAAAAUGAAUUAAUAAGAAGAUUCUCUUGUAAUGAAAACCAUAAAAAAUAGGGAUAUACUAAAUACACAUUGAUUUUUAUCUUUCCAAUUGUAUAAGAUUGAUGUAAAUUUGUUUUUCCUACAAAAAUAACAAUAACAGUUAAAUCUCAUAUAUAUCUUAUGUUUCACUGGUAUUAAAUAACUCUUAGAUUGUCUAAUUCACAUAAAAAUCAAUAGUAAAUCCACAUUUAAGUAAUGCACCUCUAAAGAAAUAUUAAUUUCACAUUUACGUUCCCAAUCAUAUUAGCUAUCAUAAUUAAUAUUUUCUUUUUGCAGGAAUAAAAAAUUAAUAUAUAACUAAAUAAUGUAAAUUACGAAUCAACGUGAACAAAAGAUAAACUGUCUCCUACCAUACAUAACAUUCUAAAUUUUUUUACUAACUUGCCCAGGCAUAGGUAAUCUCGAUGUCAUAUGAUAGGUAAUAAUGAUUGACAACUCCAUCCGUUGCUACAUGCGAUGGAAGAGGCUGCAAUUCAUAAUUAUCCUUUAAUUAGUGUUCAAUGAUGGAAGCUAAAGAAGUCUACAAUAUAUGAAGGGUAGAUUAAGAGAUUACUUAAUAACCUGAAAUUGAAUUGAAUAGAGAGUGGAAUUUGGAUAGACAUAUAAUUUUCAGUAAGUUCAAAAAGGAAGCCAUCAGGAUGAAUCUUGAAUAAGAAUUUUCUGUUAUCGAGCAAAUUGUCGAUUUAUUUCAUUUGAUUUUUUUUUUUAAGGAAUUUGUCCAUUGCUCUCACAUCAUAUGUCUUGUAAAAUGUCAUGACUCGAAAAAAUGACUGUACUUUAUUUAAAUUAACUCGUGAAUGAAAGAAUCAUACUGCGGAACUAAUAUGAAUAAUAAUCAGAUAAAGCUUACAUGAACGAGAGAAUCAUGUACCUUAAUUCUUUCUUCCUCAAUUGUUGUUCUUUUUUGGUUAAUUCACAAACUUUUAAAACUUAGUAAAAUUAUUAAAUUAAAAAAAUGUUAAUUAAGCAAAAUUCCAUCAGAUCUGCGCCUCGAGCCAUCUAAUUUGUUGAUGAUCUUAUUAGAGAAUCAAGAAAAUGGCAUAGAGCAAGGAUAGGAGCGGAAUUAAUUACCCCAUCGGUCAUUUCUUGAGAAGGAAGUGUCGGCACUGAUGAUGAGGCCUUCAUGUCUCUACUUUGCCAACCAAUUAACCCUAGAAAUUGAGAAAGAGAGGUAGAUAGAGAGAGGAAACAGAUCUAGUGAGUGUCAAAUAAACUGGCUUAUUAUUGUGUCCUUUUUAUUGCAUGCAAAAGUUGGCAAUGUUUGCACAUUUGGUAAGUAAAGGUGGAGGAGAUUCAGAGUAAAUUUACUAAAGCAACGGCUACUCUCAUCAUUGUGGUCUAAAUUAAGUUAAUCAAGAUAUUAUGCUAUAAUUUUAUCUCGGCAGGCCCCAUUUUUUUUUUACUCUUUAUGUUUGAAAUACUGUAGAUUAAGUAGUCAUUUUACUAAUUAUAGGUAAAUGUUACAUUUUGGUUCUUUAACUUUGCUCUUUUUUUUGUUUGCCAUGUUGUUUGUAGAUUCUCUAUUAUGAAUCGUAUCAAAUGCAUAUAAUUCUGCCACUAAGACGAACUUUUUUUUUUCAAGAGAUAAAUUUGCAUGAGGGUAGAAAGAAAUUACAGUGUAUUUCUCAUUUGAAACUAUUUUUCUGGAAUAAAUUCCAUAUCUUAUUUUACCCAAGUCACAAUAGUACAUGGUUUGCCUUAUAUAUAGCGCAUAUGAGCUUCCAUUAUUUGAUGUUUGGUACCCAUAUCUCUAUGGAUUUGCAGUAUCUAAUUGCUUGGAUAAUUAAGUAAUUAAACAGUUUCUUUCUUUUUUAAAGUAGAAAUUCCAUAUGUAUUGUGUGUUUUUUUAUCAAUAAAAAAUUUUAUCAACUUUUCCGAUGCAUUGAAUAGGAAAAAAUCUAAACUAUAGAAAUUGUUGUUGUCAUGGGGUUUAUCACACAUCAGGAUUUAUUUGUGUUCAUGAUGAACACUUUGCAUAUAUACACAUAAUUUCGUUUAAAUUAAAAAUAAUGCACGUUUUUUGUUAUUAUGAUCUUGAUUCUCUGGGUUAUUGAUCUCCAUAAGAGUUUUAGACCAAGUCUGCUGCGUGUCAUUUGAAAACUUCUCUUGUCCAAUAAAGGCUGACCAAUUGUUGGUAUAAGCAUCGGCAAGAACCCAUGUAACUUCUUCAGGCCGGUUUUUAAAGUCAAAUUUAAAACGUUUCGCUUUAGCACCGAUCUUCCUCCUCCUCUUUGGCUGUUGGUUGCUUGAUUCAGGGUCAGGAUUAGAGCUCCCAGCAGCAUCCUGCAUGUAUAUCAGUAUAAGUAUACACAUAGAUGUUGCAUGAAAUAUACUAAAAUUAAAAGCAACAAUUUAAAUACAAGCCGAAAGUAAGAUUUGAUUUUGAAAGCUCACUCACUUUGGUAAGGCCAGCUACCGGCGGUGUCUCAAGCUUCUUCCGGUCAUUUUCUUGCAAUGCGUUAGGAGUAAUUCGAUUAAUAUUUUGUCCUUUUGACUUGACUUAUUUCUAUUAGUAAUUUCAUAGUUUAUGUAAUCUACAUGAACAUUUAAUAUUAGGCGCGAAACCCAUUUUAUUCUUCCCUUUUUGUUUUGACAACUCAUGUAUGUAUGUAUGUAUCAUGUUUUUCUUUCUUUUCUUUUUCAAGAAAAAAAAAACGCGCGAAAUCACAUUUACGCUCUAUACCCCCCUCUGACCUAAAAGAAAACUUGAGAUCCAUAAAUUAGUUUGCUAAUGAAAAACAAUUAAUCAAAUUUAUGCAUUUCCUGCAUUUUUUUCUCUUACAGGUACCAUAUAGCUCAGUAUCAAGCAUUGACUACAACAAAACAAAAAAAAAAACCUAGAAAUAGUUAUAGAGAUAGCGAUAACAUACAGUAUCUUGCACUCCAUCCGUUGCUACACGCGAUGGAAGAGGCUGCAAUUCAUAAUUAUCCUUUAAUUAGUGUUCAAUGAUGGAAGCUAAAGAAGUCUACAAUAUAUGAAGGGUAGAUUAAGAGAUUACUUAAUAACCUGAAAUUGAAUUGAAUAGAGAGUGGAAUUUGGAUAGACAUAUAAUUUUCAGUAAGUUCAAAAAGGAAGCCAUCAGGAUGAAUCUUGAAUAAGAAUUUUCUGUUACCGAGCAAAUUGUCGAUUUAUUUCAUUUGAUUUUUUUUUUUGAAGGAAUUUGUCCAUUGCUCUCACAUCAUAUGUCUUGUAAAAUGUCAUGACUCGAAAAAAUGACUGUACUUUAUUUAAAUUAACUCGUGAAUGAAAGAAUCAUACUGCGGAACUAAUAUGAAUAAUAAUCAGAUAAAGCUUACAUGAACGAGAGAAUCAUGUACCUUAAUUCUUUCUUCCUCAAUUGUUGUUCUUUUUUGGUUAAUUCACAAACUUUUAAAACUUAGUAAAAUUAUUAAAUUAAAAAAAUGUUAAUUAAGCAAAAUUCCAUCAGAUCUGCGCCUCGAGCCAUCUAAUCUGUUGAUGAUCUUAUUAGAGAAUCAAGAAAAUGGCAUAGAGCAAGGAUAGGAGCGGAAUUAAUUACCCCAUCGGUCAUUUCUUGAGAAGGAAGUGUCGGCACUGAUGAUGAGGCCUUCAUGUCUCUACUUUGCCAACCAAUUAACCCUAGAAAUUGAGAAAGAGAGGUAGAUAGAGAGAGGAAACAGAUCUAGUGAGUGUCAAAUAAACUGGCUUAUUAUUGUGUCCUUUUUAUUGCAUGCAAAAGUUGGCAAUGUUUGCACAUUUGGUAAGUAAAGGUGGAGGAGAUUCAGAGUAAAUUUACUAAAGCAACGGCUACUCUCAUCAUUGUGGUCUAAAUUAAGUUAAUCAAGAUAUUAUGCUAUAAUUUUAUCUCGGCAGGCCCCAUUUUUUUUUUACUCUUUAUGUUUGAAAUACUGUAGAUUAAGUAGUCAUUUUACUAAUUAUAGGUAAAUGUUACAUUUUGGUUCUUUAACUUUGCUCUUUUUUUUGUUUGCCAUGUUGUUUGUAGAUUCUCUAUUAUGAAUCGUAUCAAAUGCAUAUAAUUCUGCCACUAAGACGAACUUUUUUUUUUCAAGAGAUAAAUUUGCAUGAGGGUAGAAAGAAAUUACAGUGUAUUUCUCAUUUGAAACUAUUUUUCUGGAAUAAAUUCCAUAUCUUAUUUUACCCAAGUCACAAUAGUACAUGGUUUGCCUUAUAUAUAGCGCAUAUGAGCUUCCAUUAUUUGAUGUUUGGUACCCAUAUCUCUAUGGAUUUGCAGUAUCUAAUUGCUUGGAUAAUUAAGUAAUUAAACAGUUUCUUUCUUUUUUAAAGUAGAAAUUCCAUAUGUAUUGUGUGUUUUUUUAUCAAUAAAAAAUUUUAUCAACUUUUCCGAUGCAUUGAAUAGGAAAAAAUCUAAACUAUAGAAAUUGUUGUUGUCAUGGGGUUUAUCACACAUCAGGAUUUAUUUGUGUUCAUGAUGAACACUUUGCAUAUAUACACAUAAUUUCGUUUAAAUUAAAAAUAAUGCACGUUUUUUGUUAUUAUGAUCUUGAUUCUCUGGGUUAUUGAUCUCCAUAAGAGUUUUAGACCAAGUCUGCUGCGUGUCAUUUGAAAACUUCUCUUGUCCAAUAAAGGCUGACCAAUUGUUGGUAUAAGCAUCGGCAAGAACCCAUGUAACUUCUUCAGGCCGGUUUUUAAAGUCAAAUUUAAAACGUUUCGCUUUAGCACCGAUCUUCCUCCUCCUCUUUGGCUGUUGGUUGCUUGAUUCAGGGUCAGGAUUAGAGCUCCCAGCAGCAUCCUGCAUGUAUAUCAGUAUAAGUAUACACAUAGAUGUUGCAUGAAAUAUACUAAAAUUAAAAGCAACAAUUUAAAUACAAGCCGAAAGUAAGAUUUGAUUUUGAAAGCUCACUCACUUUGGUAAGGCCAGCUACCGGCGGUGUCUCAAGCUUCUUCCGGUCAUUUUCUUGCAAUGCGUUAGGAGUAAUUCGAUUAAUAUUUUGUCCUUUUGACUGUAAGUGCUUCUCGACUUCUUUAAAUGAUCUGAACUGCUUGUUUGUUCCCGGCUUAUAGUAAAACUGCACAUUCAUUUGAAACACACUCGACAUUAGGCGCACCACAUGCUUUUGAAAUAAAUUUCUGUAACUAUACAUUCGAGCUAUUAAUUGAAAAAACAUACUCUGUACAUAAUAAUAAAAUAAAAUUAAUAAACAUAUCCCACAGAAUUAUAAGCAACAUGCAAUUUCAGCAUACAGCUCUCUAAUUUGAAAAAACAUACUCUGUACAUAAUAAUAAAAUAAAAUUAAUAAACAUAUCCCACAGAAUUAUAAGCAACAUGCAAUUUCAGCAUACAGCUCUCUAAUUUGAAAAAACAUACUCUGUACAUAAUAAUAAAAUAAAAUUAAUAAACAUAUCCCACAGAAUUAUAAGCAACAUGCAAUUUCAGCAUACAGCUCUCUAAUUUGAAAGUUAACUUUCAAAGCUAUGAAAACCUAGAUAAGAAGAAAUUGAGUGUUGGGGCCACCUGGUCAAUUUUUCCUUUGUAAUUAGCGUGGGUUCUUUGCCUCUGCUCGAACAUCCACCCUUCAGGCAAUCCAAUUCUUCUGCCGUCUAUCAGUGGACCUCUAGGGCCUUUUCCCCUUCUCGGCUUUUGAUCAAGAGCAGGCACCAUCCUCAAAGGCACAGCGUCAAUGAUCUGAAGCUCAUUGGGCGGAAUCAAAGUGUUAGUUUCUUCGGCUUUCGUCAUCUGCAAAAUGCAACAAAAAAAGAAAAAAGAGAAACGCAAACAAAUAUACAAUUAUAGAGAAAAUUGACUUAUCAUGGUGGUGAUAAAAGUGAAGAAAUAAAAUCUUUCUUGUCGUUUGAUUUAGUGGGUGCAUGUACGAUGUGGGGGAAUAGAGAGAGUGAAAUACAUUUUUUGAUGGCAAGUACAUGUAACUAGCAGUCCUUUAGUGUUAGGUAUUGUGUAAAUAAAAUAAAAUAAAUUAUACCUAGGACGUUGUAUAAGUUUAAAACAUGCAAUGAAUUUUAACGCAAAAAAAUAAAAAUAAAUAGAAGUUUACUUGUGGCCCAAAUAAACCUGUCUCUUCUAGAAUAAUCUAUGCAUACAUGUUAAAAUAUAAACUCGUGGGCAAUAACCCUAUCAUUAAUUUGAAAGUGACACAAGAAUAUUGUUGAUAAAGAAUGUUGUAGUGGUAGGUGGUAUUGGACAUCUUUCAACUCCAAAAGCUUGCUCACGAGAUAAGGUUUUUCAUCACACUUAUAAAGUCACUAUCAACCCCUUCCACAACCAACGUGGGAUAACCCAAAAAAUCUCCUCCUCACACAAAGGGCUUGGAUCAAAAGCAUAGACACCUAUUCUCUCAAUUAGAUUAUAUAGAUUGAGAUGUUGGUGAGCCUGGACUUUAAUAUUAGUAUUUGGUAGUCUCAAGCCUCUUUCAACCUCAAAAGUUAGGCCAAGGGGUGAGGCUUUCCCUCACACUUAUAAAGUCACUACCGGCCCCUUCCACAACCGAUAUGGGAUAAUUGAAACAAGUAGCAAUUAUAGUUUAUCUAAUUAGAAUAAAAAGGACUUUUGAAGGAAAAUGAAUUAAUAAGAAGAUUCUCUUGUAAUGAAAACCAUAAAAAAUAGGGAUAUACUAAAUACACAUUGAUUUUUAUCUUUCCAAUUGUAUAAGAUUGAUGUAAAUUUGUUUUUCCUACAAAAAUAACAAUAACAGUUAAAUCUCAUAUAUAUCUUAUGUUUCACUGGUAUUAAAUAACUCUUAGAUUGUCUAAUUCACAUAAAAAUCAAUAGUAAAUCCACAUUUAAGUAAUGCACCUCUAAAGAAAUAUUAAUUUCACAUUUACGUUCCCAAUCAUAUUAGCUAUCAUAAUUAAUAUUUUCUUUUUGCAGGAAUAAAAAAUUAAUAUAUAACUAAAUAAUGUAAAUUACGAAUCAACGUGAACAAAAGAUAAACUGUCUCCUACCAUACAUAACAUUCUAAAAUUUUUUACUAACUUGCCCAAGCAUAGGUAAUCUCGAUGUCAUAUGAUAGGUAAUAAUGAUUGACACAUAAUGACAUUCAAUAUUACACUAACGAUAAAUAGUAAACAACAUUGUAAUAUGAUCUCGAUAUAUAUAAAUUUUUUUUUAAUAACAAUCAUAUUAAGUAGUUUGAAACUAAAGUUUUUAACUGACUUAUUUCUAUUAGUAAUUUCAUAGUUUAUGUAAUCUACAUGAACAUUUAAUAUUAGGCGCGAAACCCAUUUUAUUCUUCCCUUUUUGUUUUGACAACUCAUGUAUGUAUGUAUGUAUCAUGUUUUUCUUUCUUUUCUUUUUCAAGAAAAAAAAAGAGCAAAAUUUGAAUCUUAAUCCUCUUGUUUUCAGCCUACAAAAUGUUACCAUUUUAACUAGAUGAUGCCCAUGAAUUACAAGAUGUUACCAUUUGCACACUCUUAAAUUACUAGUACUUCUUAAAAUACAGCAUUAGCAUUUAUCAAAGUAUAAUGCUUUUAGAUCUCCAUAUGUUUUCACUAACUAUUGUUUAAAGUAUUAUAUAUUUUAAAUUACUAUUAAUAAUUUUCGAAGAAAUUGCACAAACAUUAUGUAUUAUUCAUUUAUCUGUUGAUAAGAUGGUUAAAUAAAUAAUUUUAUAGGUUGCAAAUUUUAUCAUUUAAUAGAUGGAUGACACUUCACUUGAAAUGAGGCUCCUAAGAAAUAUAUUACUUAUGAAGCAUAAAUUAUUUGUAAAAGAAAUUAAAAUUAGCUUGAUUCAAAAACUUGAUUAGUUUCGUUGUAUAUAUAAUUUGGGGAGAUUGUCAAUUUUUAUCCCUAAUAUUUUUACUUUUUCCUCUUACUCUUAAAAGGCUUUCAACUUUAAUGAACAAAUAUGGUUGUUUUGUGGCUGCGAAAGGUUUUUCUAUGAGGAUUGUUUAAUGUAUCACAAAUAUUUUGUCAUCGUUAUUUUAUCUCAUGAAUCUUUUUUUUUUGUGUGUCUUCAACUUUGGAAAAAUUAAAUAACAGUGACAAAAUUAAAGGGUUUUAAAUUGAAAUAUCUAAAACAAAAAAUAAUAAUUGUAAGCCUACAUGUUGCUAUAUUUUAUUGUUUUAAAUUAUUUAGAAUUUAUCAAAAGUAAAAACUAAUUAAAAUUCGAAAGAAAAAAAGAGGUCUGAGAUUUGCGGUUGAAGGAAAUUUUAAUUUUUUAAAAGAAUGAGUUGGGCUUUAUUCUGCUGUACCGUACAUCCGCCUUGGCCGUACAGCAGGCGCAUAUGAGCUUCCAUUAUUUGAUGUUUGGUCCCCGUAUCUGUAAGGAUUUGCAGUAUCUAAUUGCUUGGAUAAUUAAUUAAUUAAAUAGUUUCUUUCUUUUUUAAAGCAGAAAUUCCAUAUCUCUUGUGUGUUUUGUUAUCAACAAAAUUUUUUAUCAACUUCUCCGAUGCAUUGAAUUGGAAAAAAUCUAAACUAUAGAAAUUGUUGUCAUCAAAAAUCAGGAUUUAUUUGUGUUCAUGAUGAACACUUUGCAUAUAUGCACAUAACUUUGUUUAAAUUAAAAAAAAAAUCCACUUUAUUUGUUAUUAUGAUCUUGAUUCUAUGGGUUAUUGAUCUCCAUAAGAGUUUUAGACCAAGUCUGCUGUGUGUCAUUUGAAACCUUCUCUUGUCCAAUAAAAGCUGACCAGUUGUCGGUCCGAGCAUCGGCAAGAACCCAUGUAACUUCUUCAGGCCGGUUUUUAAAGUCAAAUUUAAUACGUUUAGCUUUAGCACCAAUCUUCCUCCCCCUCUUUGGCUGUUGGCUACUUGAUUGAGGGUCAGGGUUAGAGCUCCCAGCAGCAUCCUGCGUGUAUAUGUAUACUCAAGGAUGUUACAUCGAAUAUAAGAAAAUUGAAAACAACAAUUUAAAUACUAGCCAAAGAUGAGAUGUGAUUUUGAAAGCUCACUCACAUUGGUAAGGCCAACUACUGGUGGUGUCUCAAGCUUUUUCCGGUCAUUUUCUUGCAAUGCGUUAGGAGUAAUUGGAUUAAUAUUUUGUCCCUUUGACAGUAAGUGCUUCUCGACUUCUUUAAAUGAUCUGAACUGCUUGUUUGUCCCCGGCUCAUAGUAGAACUGCACAUUCAUUUGAAACACAGUCAGCAAUCAGGCGCACCACAUGCUUUUGAAAUAAAUUUCUGUAACUAUACAUUUGAGCUAUUAAUUGAAAAAUACUCAGUACAUAAUAAUUAAUUAAAAUUAAUAAACAUGUCCCACAGAGUUAUAAACAACAUGCAAUUUCAGCAUACUGCAGCUCUCUAAUUUGAAAGUUAACUUUCAAAGCUAUGAAAACCUAGAUAAGAAGAAAUUGAGUGUUGGAGCAACCUGGUCAAUUUUUCCUUUGUAAUUAGCGUGGGUUCUUUGCCUCUGCUCGAACAUCCACCCUUCAGGCAAUCCAAUUCUUCUGCCGUCUAUCAGUGGACCUCUAGGGCCUUUUCCCCUUCUCGGCUUUUGAUCAAGAGCAGGCACCAUCCUCAAAGGCACAGCGUCAAUGAUCUGAAGCUCAUUGGGCGGAAUCAAAGUGUUAGUUUCUUCGGCUUUCGUCAUCUGCAAAAUGCAACAAAAAAAGAAAAAAGAGAAACCCAAAUAAAUAUACAAUUACAGAGAAAAUUGACUUAUCAUGGUGGUGAUAAAAGUGAAGAAAUGAAAUCUUUUGUGUCGUUUGAUUUAGUGGGUGCAUGUACGACCUGGGGGAAUAGAGAGAGUGAAUUACUUUUUUUUAUGGCAAAUACAUGUAACUAUCAGUCCUUGAGUGUUAGGUAUUGUGUAAGAAAAACAAAAUAAAUUAUACCUAGGAGGUUAUAUAAGUUUAUAACAUGCAAUGACUUUUAAGGCAAAAAAAAAAAAGUUUAUGUAUGGCUGAAAUAAACCUAUCUCUUCUAGAUUAAUUUAUGCAUGCAUGUUAAAAUAGAAACUUGUGGGUACUAAUCCUAUCAUUAAUUUGAAAGGGACAUAAGAAUAUUGUUGAUAAAGAAUGUAGUAGUGUUAGGUGGUCUUGGACAUCUCCCAACUCCAAAAGUUAGUUCAAGAGGUAAGGUAUUCCCUCAUAGUUAUAAAUUCACUAUUAGACCCAUCCGCAAUCGACGUGGGAUAACCUCAACAAUCUCCUCCUUCCACAUUGGGCUUUGGGUUAAAAGCAUAGAUAUUCGUUCUUCCGAUUAGAUUGUUGGUGAACCUGGACUCUGAUGCCGAUAUUAGGUGGUCUUGGGUCUUUCUCAACUCCAAAAGUUAUCUCAAGAGAUAAAGCUUUCUCCCACAUUUAUAAAGUCACUACCAGCCCCUUUCACAAUCAAUAUGGGAUAACCCCAACAAGUAGCAAUUGUAACUUUAUCUAAUUAAAAUGAAUAAAACUUUUGAAAGAAAUAGAAUUAAUAUUAAUUUGAAAGCAACUUAGGAAUAUUGUUAAUAAAGAGUGUAGUAGCAAUUGUAAGUUUAUCUAGUUAGAAUAAAUAAAACUUUUGAACGAAAAAGAAUUAAUAAGAAGAUUCUCUUAUAAUGAAAACCUUAAAGAAAAAGGAUAAGUUAAAUACACGUUUAUUUUUACCUUUCUAAUUGUAUGAGAUUUAUACAGUUUUUUUUCAUAUAAAAAUAACAUUAACAGUUAAAUCUCAUAGAUAUCUUAUGUUUCACUGGUAUUAACUCUUAGAUUGUCCAUUUCACAUAAUAAUUAGUAGUAAAGUUACAUUUAAGUAAUUCAUCUCUAAAGAAAAUAUUAAUUUCAUAUUUAUGUUCCCAAUCAUAUUGGCUAUCAUAGUUCAUAAUUUCUUUUUGCAGCAAUAAACAAUUAACAAAUAACUAUAUAUUGUAAAUUAUGAAUCUACAUGAACUAACAAUAAAUUGACUCCUACCAUACAUAACAUUCUACAAUUUUUAACUAACUUGCCCAAGCAUAGUUAAUCUCGAUGUCAUAUAACAAGUAAUGAUUGACACAAAAUGACAUUCAAUCUUACACUAACGAUAAAUAGUAAACAAUAUUGUCAUAUGAUCUCAACUUAUAUACAAUUUUUUUUUGUAACAAUUAUAUUAAGUAGAUUUUAACUAACCUAUUUUUCUAGUAAUUUCUUAAUUUAUGUAUUCUACGUGCACAUCUAAUAUUAGGUGCGAAACCUAUUUUAUUCUUUCCUUUUUUGUUUUGACUACGCAUGUAUGUAUCAUGUUUCUUUUUCAUCUUUUCAAGAAAAAACGCACGAAAUCACAUUUACACUCUGUGCCCCCCAUUGACCCAAAAGGAAACUUGAGAUCCAUAAAUCAGUUUGCUAUUGGAAAAGAAAAAACGCGCGAAAUCACAUUUACGCUCUAUACCCCCUUCUGACCCUCAAAAAAAAAAACUUGAGAUCCAUAAAUUAGUUUGCUAAUGAAAAACAAUUAAUCACAUUUAUGCAUAUAGCUCAGUAUUAAUUAUUGACAAUAAAAAAAGUCUAUAAAUAGUUACAGAGACAACGAUAACAUGCCGCAUCUUGCAAUCCAUCUGUUGCUACACGUGAUGGAAGAGGCUGCAAUUCAUAAUUAUCCUUUAAUUAGUGUUCAUUGAUGGAAGCUAAAAAAGUCUACAAUAUAUGCAGGGUAGAUUAAGAGAUUACUUAAUAACCUGAAAUUGAAUUGAUAGAGAGUGGAAUUUGGAUAGAGAUAUAAUGUUCAGUAGGUUCAAAAAGAAAGCAAUCAGGAUGAAUCAUGAAUAAGAAUUUGUUGUCAUCGAGGAUAUUGUCGAUUUAUUUAUUUAUUUUUUGUUUUUUUUUUGUUUUAAGGAAUUUGUCCAUUUCUCGCGCCAUAUGUCUCCUAAAAUGUCGGGACUAGAAAAAAUGACGGUAAUUUAUUUAAAUUAACCAAUGAAUGAGAGAAUCAUACUGCGGAACUAAUAUGACUAAUAAUCAAAUAAAGCUUACAUGAACGAGAGAAUCAUGUACCUUAAUUCUUUAUUCCUCAAUUGUUGUUCUCGGGUUAAUUCACAAACUUUUAAAACUUAGUAAAAUUGUUAAAUUAAAAAAAAAUGUUAAUUAAGCAAAAUUACAUCAGAUAUGUGCCUCAAGCCAUCUAAUUUGUUGAUGAUCUUAUUAGAGAAUCAAGAAAAUGUCAUAUAGAAAGGGGAUCAUGAUCCUCUCUUGAUUUGAGCGCUCUAGAUCUUUUAAAGAUCUUAUGCCACAUGUGUUUUAGUGUUAGUGAAUGAUUGAGAUUUAACUACUUUUUCUUUUUAAUUUAUUAACCACCAAUUAUAUUAACAAAAUUUACUCAGAUAAAGAUCAGAUCAGGAGAGGAUCCCGAUUCAUAGCAAGGAUAUGAGCCCCAUCGGUCAUUUGCUUUGAUGCCAAUGUCGGUAUUGAUGAUGAGGCCUUCAUGUCUCUAGUUUUCCAACCAAUUAACCUUGGAAAUUAAGAAAGAGAGGUGGAUAGAGAGAGGAAACAGAUCUAGUGAGUGUCAAAUAAAUUGGCUUAUUGUUGUGUCCUUUUUAUUGCAUGCAAAAUUUGGCAAUGUUUGCACAUUUGGCAAGUAAAGGUGGAUGAGAUUCAGGUGGGAAAAUUUGCUAAAGCAACGGCUACGCUCAUCAUUAUGGUCCAAAUUAAGUUUAUAUAGGCAUUAUGCUAUAAUUUUAUCUAGGCAGACCCCUUUUUUUUUCCCCUGUUUUGAAAUACUGUAGGAUUUAGUAGUCAUUUUACUGUAAGGAUUUACAGUAUCUAAUUGCUUGCAUAAUUAAUUAAUUAAAUAGUUUCUUUCUUUUUUAAAGUAGGAAUUCCAUAUCUCUUGUGUUUUUUUAAUUAACAAAAAUUUUUAUCAACUUCUCCGCUGGUUUGAGUAGGAAAAAAUCUAAAGUCUAGAAAUUGUUAUUAUCAUGGGUUUUAUCACUGCUGUUUGUGAAAAUAAGUUAACUCAUCUGUCAAAAGUUUCAAAAUCUCUUUGCCUCAAUGAUCUUUAAUUACAAUUUGUAUAAGGUGCUUUAAAUUUACUAAAUAAGAGAAAUUCUAGAAUACUUCUAAAGUAUUGCAACCAAUUGAUGCAUGCACGAUAUGUGUAAUUAAUUUUAAUAUAACCACCACUUAUAUAAUGAUUUUUUAAAAUAAAUGUACACAUUCUGAAGAAUUUGAAAGAUAAAACACAAAUUUUUAUUGAAGAAACCUCAAGGAUAAAACACAAUUCAUACUCUCAGAGGCUUACUUAUGUUUUGCUUCUCCUUAGAUUUGAUGCAUAAACCAAAGGGAAGAGGGGGUAUAUAUAACUAAAACAAACCAAUCAUAAUCAUUCAUUUAUUCAACUACCACACAAAUCCUCACUGUUUAUCAAAACCUACCAUUCACCUACUACACCAACCACACCAAUCUUACUUAUCACCCAAGCUCAUCUAACACCUCCCCUUAAACUGGUUUUAUAACACCCAAUAAAUUUUUUAACCUGAAGAAAUCUUCUUGCUUUAGUGGCUUGGUGAGAAUGUCAGCAAUUUGAUUAUGUGAUUUGACAUACUUGUAUUUCAUUUUUUCUAAUGCACUCUUGUAUGAAAUGAUAACGAGUAUCGAUAUGUUUGCUUUGAUCAUUGAAGAUUGGUUAGAGCAAUUACUGGUUUGUUAUAGACACAAAUCUUAGUUGGAUCUACUUCUUCACCUUCAUCAUGUUUGGAUAACUUGACUUCGUAUUCGACUGGCGUGCUUAUAGGCUUGCAAUCAUUCAUCUUGAACUUCUUGAUAAUCUCUUCUGCAUAGCUUUCUUGGGAGAUAAAUAUGCCUUUUUUUUCUAACUUGACUUCAAUGUCGAGGUAAUGUGCUAUCAAUCCGAUGUUAGUCAUCUCAAACUCUUUAAUCAUCACUCUCUUAAACUCUUCAAAUAAGCUUAUAUUACUUCUAUUAAAGAUGAGAUCAUCCCUAUACAUGCACAUGAUUAAAAUGUCUUUAUCAUUUUCUUUGACAUAGAGAGCAUGUUCAUAUGGGCAUUUGGUGCAGUCGUUCUUUUGAAAAUACUUGCCAAUUCUAUUAUUCCAUGCCUUUGGUGCUUUUUUUUAGCCCAUAAAGAGUUUUCUUCAAUAUCAGAACUUUGUGUUCGUAUCCUUUCACAUAUAGCCUAAUAGUUGUUCGAUAUAGACUUCCUUUUUAAAGAAUCUAUUUAAGAAAGCACACUUCACGUCUGUUUGAAGAAUCAUCCAUUUUUUCUGAGCAGCCAAAAAAAUAAUAGUUUCAAGUCAGGCUACAAGAGAAAAUACCUCAUUGUAAUUAUUGCUAGUUUUUUUACUAUCGCCUUUUGCAAUUGUCCUUACUUUGUCCCUUUCAAUUUCUCCUUUGGCAUUUCUCUUCGUUUUGUAUACCCAUUAGACACCGAUCGCCUUAUAACCUUUAAUAAGAGUAGUAAGUUCCUAAGUGUCAUUCUUUACAAUGGCUUUGAUUUUUUUCAUCUAUUGCGAUUCUCUAUUUCUCAUCUUGUACAGUUUCUUGGAAGUUGAUUGGCUCAUAAUUAGCAAAGAGACAAAAAAGAAUGAGAUUAUCAAGUCUCUUCAUUACCUCAUAGAGAUCUUGUAAAUUUCUUGUGCGCGUCCUAUCUCUCUUUUCUAAAAAUGCUGGUGAUGAGUCUCCAUAAGUGCUUAUUAUUGGUAAAUUAAAUUAAGUUAUGGGUUCUUGUUGUUCUCCUGCUUGCUGCUUUGAUGUUUGCACGUCUUAUUUAAAGGGAUAAAAGUUAAAGUCACAAGCAUUACAGCCAAAAUCUCACUCUCAUUCUUCAUUAAAAAUUACAUAUUUGCUGAUCAAUCUUUCCAUUGUUUGGAUUGUACAGUUUGUAUCAUUUGGAUUUGUUAUCAUAGCGAAUGAAGAUAAACUUCUCGCUUUUGUCAUCUAGCUUAGUUCAUUUCUCGUCUUUUCUCUUUUGGUGCAUGUACAUGAGCUAUGCUUUUGAAAACUCUUAGAUGUGAGAUGCCUGGCUUUUUGCCACUCCAUACUUUUUGUGGUGUCUUGCCCCAUACAUUUCUUAUUGGAGAUCUAUUAGAUAGGUGGACUGCAUAUGCAAAAACUUUUGCCUAAAACUCUUUAGGCAAUCUGUUAUAGUGCAAUUUAUGCACUAGUUUUGCAUUGUUUACUUCCCUUAAUUCGAUAUUUUGCACUUAAUAAUAGUGAUUUACUUGUGUUUUACUUUUGUAGGUGUAAUUCUAUUGAUUAGCGAUAAAAUUGAACUACAAGAUGAUGUUUAAGGAUGAUUGUUCUCUUGGAGAAAUUAUGAGCGUCAGAAGAACUUUGUUGAUAAGGCGUGGGCGCGUGCUGUCAACUAUAGACCUGCAGUUUUUAGUUUAACAUGUUUUGUAUUUUUAGUUAUUUUUGUAAUCACGAAUUUAAUAUUUCAAAUAUCAGUAUUUUAUUUUAAAUAGAACUUUAGAGGAGAAGAGAGAGAGAGUAUUUAAGGGAGGAAUCUAUUAUGAAAAAGGGGGAUUGGCAAAAAGAAAAAAACCCUAGAUUUAAAUUUUUCUCUUCUCUCUAUGAAGAACUAAAUCUAUUAUUCUGGUUGAAGGUUAAUGAAGCUUUGAUUCAUCACUAUAGUGAGAUCUUUCUUAUAUUUUAAUUGUUUUAUUACUUUUUGGGUAUUUGUUUAUGCUCUGAAUUAUUUUCAUGAUUAUGUUUGUUAAUAAGGUAAUUGGCCACUAUUUAAUUAUCAACUUAAUCUAUUGACAAUUAAAGGAUUCAUCGUAUGAAGAUUUUAAUGUUGGUGAUAAAUAGCAUAGCAGUGAGUUGUGUUAUGAGAAUAAACAAUCUAAUUUAAAUGAAUCAUCGUGUGCGUUUGUUGAUUAGGAUUUGGGUCUCUCUGAUUUUUCAGGCUAUCAAUUGAUUAAAUCCUAUGAUCGUAUUUAGGGUUGUCUAUUAAUUAAGGAAAUAACCAACGAUCGUACCUUAGUUAUCGACUAGUUAAGAAGAGAUUGGCUAUUAGAGGGUCUCAGUAGCUAUAACCGAUUUAUUCAUAAGUAGUAAUAAUUUAUAUUUGAAUCAAUGAUCAGUAGUCGAAUCAAGCUGAGUUAAUUCCUUCAACCAGAGCUUUCUCCAAUUUGAAUUACAACUUUAAUUUGCAUUCUUGUUAUUUUAAUUUGAUUUUUAUUAUUGUCAACAAUUCCCCCAUUUUACGUUUUACAUUUUAAAAGGAUUUAAAUAAUUACCGAUAUAUGUGGACACGACCCUGCUCAAUCACUAUACACAAUUUAUUUAGAGCAGGUAUUUAUUUUUGCUGGCUUCAACAACCAUCACAAUCUUUUGCUUUUGAGCAUGUUCUUGCCAUAUCGAGGAUAAUUAUAUUCUUCUUUUCCACCAUACCAUUUUGUUAGAAGGAUUAAGGAACUGUCAAAGGGCAUCGAAUUCUAUUUGCUUUGCAAAACUCUAGGAAUUUUUUGGAAAUGAAUUCUCCUCCUCGAUUAGAUCUUAUGACUUUAAGUUGGUAUCCACUUUCUUUCUCGACUGUAGCUUUGAACCUCUUGAAAGUUGUAAAAACUUUUAACUUUUGCUUUAAAAAAACACUUAAGUUUUUCUUAAAAAAUCAUCAAUAAAAAAAGAAAUUAGAUAUUUUUACUGAGAGCGAUUGGCUUAAUUGAUCUGUUCACAUCAAUAUGAAUAAGCUUGAGUGGCUUCUGGGCUUUUGAGUUUGACUUCUUUGGAAAGUUUUUCCUAAACUACUUGUCAAGUAAACACCCUUUACAAAGUUGAUUGGACGAUUAAUUGAAGGUAUGCAUUUUACCAUGUUCUUUUUUUUUUAAUGGUUGCUCUAAUCCUCUAAAGCUGAGAUAUCCAUAUCGAAGAUGCCAAAUCCAAGAUGAAUCUUUGUGACAAGCUUUGAUACAUGUUGGGUAAUUUUUAUUGCUAUAGAUUUCAAUGUACAAGUCUAAACAACAACUAAUAUACUGAUGAGUAUUCAGUUGCUAUAGGUGUUUGAUGAAUGAAACACAAAUUUUUAUUAAAGAAAGUCAUCUGGACUUGUAUCUUGUAUGGUAUAAUUGACUGGAAAUAUUUUUUUCUUUAAUUUUAAUUGUUAACUAAGGACAAGAUGGGCAUUUUAAUUUACCAAACAGGACCCUGGGAUAGAGAACAACCCGUAUCUGGGCUUUGUUUACACAUCGUUUCAAGAGCGCGCCACUUUCAUAUCACACGGCAACACGGCCCGCCUGGCGAAAGAGGGAGGUGAUCCAGUGCUCGCGCGCAUAUGUGGAACCAUUGCAUCAGAUGACAAGCGCCACGAAAACGCCUUCGCUAGGAUCGUCGAAAAGCUCCUUGAAGUGGACCCCACGGGCAUGGCCGCUCACUUGAUGUACGAUGGGCAUGACCCACAGCUGUUUGCGCAUUUUGCGAUAGUGGCUCAGCAGCUUGGCGUGAAUACGGCACAUGACUGCGGAUAUUUUAGAGUUUUUGAUUGGACAGUGGGGAUUGGAGAAGCUGGAAGGGUUGACGGGUGAAGGGAGACGUGCACAAGAGUUUGUGUGCGGCUUAGCGCCUAGGAUUAGGCGACUGCAGGGGUUAGCCGAUCAGCAAGCCAAGAAGCUGAAGCUGUCUCGCGUUAAGUUUAGCUGGAUUUUUAAUAGGAAACUCAGCCUGUAAAAAUUAAAAAUUAAAAACCCCAAAAAAAAAAAAAAUUCUUUUACAAUGUAUUUCCCUAAUGUUAUGCAUACAUCAUGGUACUUUUUAGCAUAUAUAGAAUGUAAUCAAACUUAAUUAAGAUCUUGGGUGAAAAUUCUAGUUUUCAUUUUACUUUCUUAGUUUCUGAUAAUGCUUGAUUUCAUCAUAACACGCAGGUACAUAUAUUCUAAUCGACUCGUUGAGCCCGGGUUUGCUCCUUGACCAUCACUCCCUCAUAUGUCCAUGGUUGCACUCCUUCUUCUUCCUUUAAUUUGCUCUAUUGACGGCAUCUUUUCGUUUAGCUCCCCACAAACGAUGCCAAAAUAUUGAUGCAACAUUCUAGUUGAGCUUUAUAGCGACCAAGAAACCACUUCAACACCUAAAUUUAUAAGUGAUAGGGGGCGAUUUUGAGCUGUUUCCUCUCCUAAUGAACAAGAUCUUGGGGCUUCGAGCUUCUUAUAAAAAAAACUCCUACACACACAAUCACCCAGUCAUAGGAUACUGAAGAUUUUUCUGGUGUAAACCCUCUGACUCUCAAGUUAUCGAUCUGGGCUUAUUUUAGAACAACUAUACCACCAAUCCUAUGGCUUAAUUAUAAUUUAAUUUUUUAAUUCUAGAAAGAUUUGCUUUUAAAACUCCAAGAAAUAUCAAAAAGAGAAACUAUAAAGUAAAGGGAAAUUAAGAUAUAGACGAGUUCAAUGUCUAAGUGUCUAACCCCAUUACCUUUAUCCAUUAUACUUUUUAUACCCAGCUUGAAUAUUCGGCCUCCGUCACCCUACAAUCGUUAUUGAAUCAUUUGUACCAUUGUGGGUAAAUAGGCGUCACAACCGUUGUUGAGUGGGUUUUGUGCCCGAACUCUCUAGAAGAAGUUCACAUGCUAAUAACUUCAAUUGACCAAGUAUUUUAUCCAACUCGACCAAGGUCUCUCCUCGUUCUCCCCUAUCUAGCUAUACUAGAGCAAUCAGCUAACAACUCCUUGAAAAUGAGCUUCCACGAGGAGUUACUUUUCGCCGAAGGAAGUUGUUGGGUGAUUUCUAUUGCUAUAGGUUUCAAUGUGCAAUUGUACACAAUAAGUAAUAUGCUGAUGAAUAUUCAGAUCGUCUCCACAAGGAUUGAUAUGAUCAGAUUUUGUACAACAAUCGUAACAAUAGAAUUUCAAUCUGAAUUAAAAUAGAAUAAUUAAUGAAACUAAGUAACUAACUAAAUUAUAAUAAAUCCAAUAAAUAAAAUACAAUAAAAAAAUUAGCCAAACACAAGGAUGUAAUUAACGGGGAAGGGAGUAGUUGAGUGAUUAAACUCAAUCAAUGGCAUUAGACUUUUUUUUUCAAUUAUAGUACCGUUACUAUAACAUCUACUACAGUACUGGGUAAAAUCUCUCAUGCAUCCUUAAUUGUCGCUUGUUGGAUACCUUAUACCUUAAUGCAACCUAACAGUAACCAAUUGUUAUGCUAUCAUUAGAUAUAACAUUAUACAUUCUAGGUUCUGUUUACUCUACAAGGUGAAUCUUUAUGUCUAGUUCUUCACUAAUUUUAGUCAAGUAUGACCCUAUUUAAAUAAAGAUUAACUCAACUUGGGAAACCCAAUCUAAAACCAUUUACUGUAUUAAUUUAUUCCACUAAGUCAGAUUUUUUUUAAAUUCCUUCUUAAAUAGUAUGCAUUAAAUGGGUGGUCAGCCAAAAUACGGAAUUGCAAUAAUUAAAAUUAAGACAAAUUGCUAUAACAAAUACAGAGCAAUACACAUAUGUCAGUCAAAUAACCAUUAAGCUUGUUUCUCAUUCAACCACAUCAAAGUUCAGUUAAUGAUUUAUGAUAAACUAGUAAAUAAAAUUGUUUUAGCCAUCAAGUACAUUCCCAUAAAUAAAUAAAAACAAGAAAAUAAGAAAAAUAAUUAAGCUCUCCUUAGUCUUGGUGAUUUCUCCUCCGUUUUCUCCUUGAAUCCUCUAUUGCAGCCCUUCAAUCUCUCUUAUUCUCUGUUUUCUUUUCGUUUUUCUCUGUUAUUUUUCUUUCUUUUCAUGCGCGCUCCUUUUAUAACUUGGAAUUAAGGCACUACAAGUAUAUGACGUGUAUCUUCCAUUUUUGGAAAUUUUAUAUUGCAAUCUUUUAGUUAUUGCGCACGAAAUCCAGUUUGUUAUUGCUCCAAGAUUGCUGCAGCAACGACUACAACAACUUCAGUCAUUCAAACUUGUUUUAUUCAUCUACAACUAAGUUAUUUUGUCAUCUUUGCAAGUCUGUUGCAGUAACAUUCCAUCCCCAAAACUUGAGCUUUUCGAUCACGUACAGUCAUGCACAUAAUCUAAGCACAUAAUGAUCUAAACCAAACUCAAUUCAUUAAAAAUAAACUAAAAUAGAUGCUAAUGCAAAAUAUAACUAAAAUACGAUAACAACACAUCAUUCACUUUCGAAAUAAUAUUUAUUUGAGUCUAAAAAUGUCACGAUAACACUUUACACCCCAAACAACUAUUUUUUAAGUUUAUUUGAAAAAUAUCUUGUAGAGGCCUUUAGUAACUUGAAGAAAUGCAUUUCAAAUAUUUUUUUAAUUGAUUAUCCGUAUUCAAAUCGUGGAAAAAGUAACAUGAUUAAAAUAUCAAUUUGGACUUUUUCUGAGGGAAAAAAAAAAAAGAAACUUGUGGAACACUCUUAAUUAUCAAUUUCUCUCUCCGGUCAUAAGAGCAAAAUUUGAAUCUUAAUCCUCUUGUUUUCAGCCUACAAAAUGUUACCAUUUUAACUAGAUGAUGCCCAUGAAUUACAAGAUGUUACCAUUUGCACACUCUUAAAUUACUAGUACUUCUUAAAAUACAGCAUUAGCAUUUAUCAAAGUAUAAUGCUUUUAGAUCUCCAUAUGUUUUCACUAACUAUUGUUUAAAGUAUUAUAUAUUUUAAAUUACUAUUAAUAAUUUUCGAAGAAAUUGCACAAACAUUAUGUAUUAUUCAUUUAUCUGUUGAUAAGAUGGUUAAAUAAAUAAUUUUAUAGGUUGCAAAUUUUAUCAUUUAAUAGAUGGAUGACACUUCACUUGAAAUGAGGCUCCUAAGAAAUAUAUUACUUAUGAAGCAUAAAUUAUUUGUAAAAGAAAUUAAAAUUAGCUUGAUUCAAAAACUUGAUUAGUUUCGUUGUAUAUAUAAUUUGGGGAGAUUGUCAAUUUUUAUCCCUAAUAUUUUUACUUUUUCCUCUUACUCUUAAAAGGCUUUCAACUUUAAUGAACAAAUAUGGUUGUUUUGUGGCUGCGAAAGGUUUUUCUAUGAGGAUUGUUUAAUGUAUCACAAAUAUUUUGUCAUCGUUAUUUUAUCUCAUGAAUCUUUUUUUUUUGUGUGUCUUCAACUUUGGAAAAAUUAAAUAACAGUGACAAAAUUAAAGGGUUUUAAAUUGAAAUAUCUAAAACAAAAAAUAAUAAUUGUAAGCCUACAUGUUGCUAUAUUUUAUUGUUUUAAAUUAUUUAGAAUUUAUCAAAAGUAAAAACUAAUUAAAAUUCGAAAGAAAAAAAGAGGUCUGAGAUUUGCGGUUGAAGGAAAUUUUAAUUUUUUAAAAGAAUGAGUUGGGCUUUAUUAGACUUAUACAUGUCCUUAAAUCUAAGUCUCUCUAAUAAUUAAACUAUGAAUACAACAGUAAGGCGUUUGACAAGGAUAAUGAUGGGGUGCUAAUAGCUCUACGUAAACAUUUUAUCUUCCAUUUAUUUGGGCUCAAACAUUCCGGCCGGUAUCUAUUUAAACCUCUCUCCCACGGCAACCAUGAAAACAGUUAUCCCUCCCUAUAUUCUGGUCUCUCCAAAAAAUCAUAAUUAAAAUUUUUAUUAUCUCCCGACUCCUCUAUCUCAACAUAUGUCCUCACCCACUCGCAACACACACUCAUCCACAACACAAUUUUUUUCUUUUUCAAGUUUUAAUUUAACGGUACCUCAAUAUCCUCCCUAUCCAUGUAAGCGGAAUUGCGGAUCUUUUUUUUUUUUUGAUACAAUGGAGCCUAGUAAAGAUUAGGACAAAACAGAGCAGGGAAUAGUAUUCCCAUAGAUAUCAUUACAUAACCAAUAUCCAAUACCCUCUGGUGGGUUAUCAAAAUCAUGAAAAUCGAGAGGUAAAAAUCCUACCAACUUGGCCAUGAAAUCAGCAGCAAAAUUAGCUUUCCGAUAUAUAUGUUUUAUUGUAAUUUGCCAAUCUCUAUUCAUCAACUCCUUGAUGGCAUUGAUAAGUGAAAGAUGUGCAUUAGGCUUUGUUCUUGUGGAAGAGAUAAGUUGAAAGAUACAUUGGCUGUCCACCUCUGCCACCAAGUAACGGAUACCCCGAUCCCACGCAAGAUGAAGACCUUGAAACAAAACCCAUAAUUCAGCAGAAGUCACCGAACAAAGACCAGUGUUCAUGCCAUAUCCAAAUUGCCACUUGCCAGAGCAGUCCCUCACCAAUCCUCCAACACUUGCCAAACCAUUUUUUAAUCGAGAACCAUCUGUAUUCAAUUUGAAAAAGGAUUCCGAGGGAGCUUGCCAGCCAAUUUCUUUGAUGAUUUUACUAGUACGAACAACAUUGAGACCUGCUCUUGCAAUAUGGAUAUCAUGAACCCACGAUCUAAUUUCCGUGACCAUCUGAGUGCAGCAAGAGGCAUUGUGUGUGAAGAUAAAUUGGUUGCACCAGAACCAAAUUUUCCAAACAGCAACGCCAAAUAAGCAGGCCCAUUCAUCCACAACCUUAUUGAUACCAACCUUGCCCAAGUUAAAGCAUAACCAGUCACGGAGAUGAAGAGAGAAAAAGGAUUGCUUGAGCAUAUCUGGAGCCAAAUGAUUCCAAAUUUUUUUUGCCACAACACAAUCACGAAGAGCAUGGAUUACAUCUUCCUUUUCCUUUCCACAAUAUUCACAAUCCAUAGAAAUUUGGAUGUGCCUCUUAAAUAGCUCCUCUUUUGUUUUAAUUCUUCCAUGCAUUACCAACCACAAGAAAAUGCGAAUCCUCUGGGGUCAUUUCCAAUGCCAAAUCAAUUUCCAUAUAUGGGCAUCAUUAUUGGAGAUUGGAUUAUUAAGGGAGAUAUAAGCUGACUUAGAUGUGAACUUGCCUGAUUUUGAGUGAACCCAAAAAGGUUGAUCCUCGUUGUUGUCAUCCGAAGGUGGUUUGAUUGCUACAAUCUGGAGAAGAAUCUGGUUGGGAAGAAAAUGACCAAACAUACUCCAAUUCCAAUUUCCCUUAAUAUCCACAAAAUCCGCCACACAUUUAUUCUUCAAUUCAUCCGGUAAUUGAGUUAUAGUAUGAUUAGCAAUGAGAAGCUCUUCCGAAACCCAACUUUGAUGCCAAAAAUUUACCUUAUUCCCUUUUCCAAUCGACCAUCUCGUGCCCUGCAACACAUACCCCCAUAUUCUGCUUAUGCCUUUCCAGAGAUAAGAGCCGCGUUUAUUCUCAAGCUUGGAGGGAAUAAAAUCUGAACAAGCCCAUAUUUUGAUCUCAAAACCCGAAUCCAGUGACUGUGAGUAGAGGUUAGCACAUUCCAUCCAAUUUUCAUGAGGAGAACAUUGUUCAUGUUUGUAAGAUUUUUAAAACCUAGACCACCUUCAGCUUUUGGAGAACAUAUCAUUUUCCAAUUAAUCAAACUGAGUUUAUGGCUUCCAUUCUUGCUCCCCCAAAUAAAUCUUUGAGAAAUCCGAUCAAUUUUAUCCAAAAUUCCAUGAGGGAUCCUUGUUGUUUGCAUGGAAAAAAUGGGGAUCGCUUGAAUUACCGAUUGAGCUAGAGUAAUUCUCCCAGCAAGGAAGAGAUGCAUUGCAUUCUAUCCAAACAGAUUUUUAUCAACAUUAUCCACAAUUUCUUAAUAAGUGGCUUUUGUCACUCUAUUGUGAAGUAAAGGCAUUCCAAGAUAUUUUCCAAGAUUAUCCGUAGCGGUAAAUCCCAAUGAAUCACUGAUUUUCCUUGCCUUUUCUGCAAUAACAUUCUUUGAGAAAUAAACUCGAGUAUUCUGUUUGCUAAUCAACUCUCCCAAAAAUAUUCAGCACAUUAUUGAUCACAUGGGCUUGGUUGCAAGAAGCCUCGGUGAGAAGAAGUAGGUCAUCUGCAAAAAAGAGGUGAGUAAGAGGAACAUCAUUUCUCGAGAGACGUAUAGGACACCAAUUUCCAUUUCAUACUGCCAAAUUAAUUGCAUGACUAAAGCGCUCGAUACAUAGAGCAAAAAUAUAAGGAGAAAGAAGGUCACCCUGUCGGAUUCCCCUAAACGGAGUGAAUUCUUCAGUGAUCUCCCCUUCCUAUAAAAUUUGCAUUCUAGCCGUAGUAAUGCACUCCAUUGUAAUUCGAAUAAACUCUUUAGGCAGUCCAACAUCCUUAAGAGUAUCAUGAAUGAAGUCCCAACUAAGCCGAUCAUAAGCUUUCUCAAGGUCCACUUUGAUAGCCAUCUGCCCGAUUUUUCCUUUUUUGUUUCUCAUGGUGUGGAUAAUUUCUUGCGCCAUCACAAUAUUCUCUAUAAUUUGCCUUCCGGGAACAAAGCUUGUCUGGGUUGGUCUGAUCAACUCCGGUAGAAUUCCUUUUAACCUAUUUGCCAAAAUUUUUGUAACAGUUUUAUACAUCACUAGACAUAGGCUAAUGGGACAGAACAUCCUCAAGUUGGUGGGGUUGUUUGUUUUUGGGAUAAGAACAAUAAGGGUCUUAUUAAGCUCUGGAGGGAGGGGAUUGCCUUUAAAAAUAUUGCUCACAAGUUCACAAAUUGAUGAGCCCACCACAUCCCAUUGCGACUGGUAGAAGAGACCAUGAAGGCCAUCAAUUCCAGGAGCUUUUAGAGGGUUCAUUCUGAAAAUUGUAGCUUUAAUUUCCUCGUUAAGAAUAGUUCUGCUAAGAUCAACUAAACUGUACUCAUCAAUUCUUGGAAAAGCAUUAGCAAUCGGGAAAUUAAAACUCACUUCAUCAUUAUAAGAAAAACGUUUAGAGAAAAAAUCAAUGGCAUGGGACUUGAUCUCUUCUUUGUUAUAAAUCUACGUACUCUUGCUGCUCUGGAUUGCAUCCACUCGGUUUCUCCUUUUUCUCGUUAUUGUUUUUCUGUGAAAAAAAGCAGUGUUUCUAUCCCCACAUGAAAUCCAUUCUCUCCUUGACUUUUGGUACCACAAUAACUCCUCCUUGGAUAGUAUAGUUUCAAGUUCCAUCUUCAAUUUGGACUCAAGCUCAAGAAGCCGGUUUGAAUCAAAUUUCUCCAGAGCAUGUUGAAUACCAUUUAAUCUUGCCAAUAAACACCUUUUCCUUUUAAAAAUGUUCCCAAAAUUCUCUUUAUUCCACACACUAACUUUAUCCACAAAGUCAUGAGCAGCCCGAAUAUAUCCCUUAGAGUUGCACUAUUCCUUAGCCACUAGAGAUUGGAAAGACUGGUCCGUCAACCGAGCUGCCAAGAAACGAAAAGGCCUAACAACAUUCAUUUUCUUCAAACUACGACCAAAUCUGACAAGAAUCGAACGGUGGUCAGAAUGAAUUUUUGGAAGAUGUAAAACUGAAGCUUCCAUAAAAGACACAUUCCACUGGUCAUUGCAUAUGGCUCGGUCUAAUCUUUUAAAGAGAGAUCCCCUUGACCAAGUGAAACAAGGCCCUUUAAAAUGUAUAUCCAUAAGCUGAUUAUCAUGAAACCAUUUGUUAAACAGUCUAUAAACACCAUUGCCUUUUUUUGAACCUCCUUUUUUCUCGGAAACAUGUAGGAUUGAGUUGAAGUCUCCACCUAGUAGCCAUGGUCUUGUAACUGAAUUAGCUACCAGGUCAAGAUUGCUCCAUAGCUCCCUCCUAAAAUUUGGGUUGGGGCUAGCAUAAACGGCAGUGACCCAUCAGAAAAAUCUGUGAUUUUAAAAUGAAUGUACUGCUUGUGAUUAAAAACAAACUCCAUCCUGAAUUCUUCUUUCCAUAAAAUCCAAAUACCCCUUGCAAAACCUUCAGCUUCCACUCGAUGCGAUAACUCAAAACCACUACGCUUAAUAAAGUUAUCAGCUUUAACUCCACUGAUUUUAGGUUCCAAAAUCGCAACAAUAUUAGAAUUGCGGAUCUUAAUCGUCUUGUUUUCAACCCACAAGAAAUUCUACUAAUUCAACUAAUUGGUACACCAAGUUACAUAAUCCAAAAAUAAGCCUCGUUGAAAAUUAACUAAUUAAACAUGAAUCCACGUCAUCUACUACCAAGCACACAUGCUAUGUUUGCUUUGCUUUUCAGUCAAUCACUCAGUGCAAUCCGUUUUGUGACUGGUUUUUCUUAAAAAAGUAUAUAAAAAUUUGCAAAAGUCUUAUUUUUCUUUUUUUUUUUAAAUUUGGUGACUGUCGAAUUUUAACUCAACAAUCAUACAAAAAAAAUUGGUUCUAGGACACUGUUCAGCGGCUCCUGAGUUGGUUUAAGGGCAGUCCUUUGUUGUAGGACACUGUUCAGCAGCUACCUUCUCCGUUUGAUACGCAAAAAGCUUUCUCACUCAUUUCGUUACUAACAAUUUAAGUUGACACCUCCUCCCUUUAAUUAAUAAAAAUGGAGCAUUUGAAUCGUCCCAUAAUUGAUGAUUAGCAAAAUUUUUCGGAGGAACAUAUCGGUAAUGCUACUACUUUGUCCGAGUAAAAUUGCCUGGACAAGCCAACAUUUCGGAGAGCAUUAUAACUUAAACAUAAACCCGUAGAUUAUCAAAAAAUUUGAUCAUUAAGUAAUUUAGUUUUAACAAUUAAAUCAUAGUAUCAUCAUGUCAUGUUACUUUGAGAUGAAAAUUUUUGUAUGAUUUUUUAUGGGAACUUUUUUUUUUUAAAGUUAAUUGAGGAAUAACCCCAACCAUAUAUAUGCUCUCAGGAGUGGUUGAUCGAGUGGUUUUUAAUAACACAACUACACCUGGUUAACAUUUGUUUAUCUUUAUCUCAUGUGGCAUCCUUCCUGGUGCACUUCACGCUACAUGUUACAUGUGCUGUACAUAGUCUCCACUUAAUGGAUUAUAGACUAUUGGGGCACUUUAUCUUGUAAGUGUUGAUAAUUGUGAUCUCUUUAGAAGUUUAUGACUUUAUCUGAUAAACACAAUCAUACGAUAAGAGCAAUCUUUACAGUUUGUAUCUAUAUUAAAAGACUCAGCUGUAUAAUGAUUAUUUAGCGAAUACAAGUUUCUUUCAUGGUAUUAGAGCUUAACCUCUACGGAGAUUUAGAAUCCUCACAAUGGCCAGCCAACAUUCCACAGCAACUUCAACCACACAAUUAGCAACUCAAAUCUCGGAGUGCAUCUCUAGCUAUCAACGCUGCUGCUCAACUUCCAAUUCGAUUGACACCCAACAACUGCUUUAAUUGGAGAGCUCGGUUUCUCUAGCUAGCUUUUGGCCAUGAUUUGAUAAAAUACAUGGAACACUUCCACAUCCUGAUCAAAUCUCAUCUUCAAGCUGCAGCACUGCCUCCAACACAAACCUAGAGUACUCCCUUAAAAAAACACAUUUAAUGCAAUUCUUACAUCCUCAACCGAAAAGAUAGCAUCCUUAGUUGCUAGUUGUUCAACAUCCAAGCAGGCUUGGGAAAAACUAGAAUGACUAUACUCUAGCAAAAGCAAAAGUAGAGUGUUCACACUCAAAGAAUGCUUGACUGGCCCUCAUGGAGAAAAUCAAACAAUUGCGGAUUAUUUGAAUAAUCUACUAUCCAUAGCUGAUGAGUUAACUCUAUUUGAUUCCCCCAUUAUAGAUGAUGAUAUUUCUGUUCAGAUGGUAAACAAUAUCGGGAAAGAGUUAAAAGAAAUCAUAGGUGGUGCCCGAACUCGAGAAACGUCUGUCACUUUUGAUGAAUUGUAUGACAAGCUUGUUGACUUUCAAGAGUAUCUAAAAAGAGAUGUAACACUUGCACAAACUCCUGCAGUCAACAUAAAAUUAAACCAAAAAUCGUUAUCCUAAUCGCAACACUUACCAAAAGCGUGUCUAACCUGCAUCACCCUUACUCACUCCACACACUUCCAAUCGACAUCAUACAAAUUCUAAUAACCAACCUACCCGAAAUUCCUUCUCUUGAACCCCAUGCCAUAUCUGAAGCUCUAAAAGAUCCUCUUUGGCUUGAGGCCAUGUAAAAGGCAUGGAAAAUGAUGUUUGCCCUGGGUCAAACCCCGGGGCAAACCCCGAAUAUAAACAAAACAAAAUCGUUUUGUUUGUUUGUUUGUUUUUCUUUUUCUUUUUUGCUUCUCCAAAACGCAAACGAAAAUUAUGUGGUUGUCUUUCAGCAACAAUCUCUUCAGGGAUCAUAUACGAGCACACGCGACACCAAUAGUUCCCAUCCACCUCGUUCCACAUACUGCAAUCCAUCAGCAAAAUAAAAAUCUACAAUCAAACCAAAUCAUAACAACCACAGCAAUGAAAUUCUAAAAACCUUUGAAUGUUAGCAGCCCACAAAUCACUCGAAAGGAGCUUCUCCCUCAUUGUGCUCACCCUCUUCUUCCCCUCCGGAGGCUUAAGUAACUCAAUCUUCUUCCCCAAUUUCCUCGCCUCGCAAAAUUCACAAACCCAUUCACCUUCAGGAACCUCCUUCAACGGCGGCUUCAAGCACUUCAAAUGAAACCCACCUAAGUAAUCAUCACACUCAAGCAUAACAUUCCUCCCUGCUCUAAAACAAAUCCUACACUCCUUCACCUCAGGAUCCUCUUCAUCCGAGCAUGCAUCCUCUCUCCUCUUCACAUACACAUCAUCUCCCACCUCAAAUUCACCCUCAUCAUACACCACUUUCUUAUAAUAAACCCUCAUCUUCUUUAAAUUCUCAACUUUGCCACUCUGCGUUUUCACCUUAGACCUUAUCACCACAGCAUCACCACUCCUCUCUUCGCUAUAGUCCUUUCUUUUUCUCUUCUUCCCCUCCGAUAAUUUAGGUGACAUCGGAGAAACCACCAACUCCUCCGAAUGCAACCCAUCUUUAGGCUUCAUUUUCGGGGUCUUAUUGCUCAAAACGUGAGAACGCAAAUGAGACAAAUCAAGAAUAUGAGAACUGAAAAAAUAAAUUCAAUGUUACAAUGUUACAAUGUUACAAUGUUGUAAAAAUACAGGGAAAAAUUAAAAAAAAUCAAAAAACAAAAUGUUGCAAAGAAGACAGUAUCGAAAAAAAAUUCAAGCUUCGAAAAUUCAAGCUUUCAGGCACAAUGUUAAUCUUGCUCUGCCGAAACUUCGCAACUGCUGUUGGUCUUGUUCCGUCGAAACUCAGCUUAGUAGCCGAAACUCAACUUUCAAUGACAAGUUUCGCAGCCGAAACUUAGCUGCUGUUGGUCUUGUUCUUCAAUAAAUGGGUGCGUUCUUUGUUAAUCACUUUCUUCAGUUCAACUUAAGACGAAGAGGAUGAAGCAUUCUGCUGUGGAUCCUGUUCUGCUGUGGAUCUCGGUCGAGGAUGGAAGAAACAAAAAAUAAACGAAGAAACGAAAAAGAAAACAACGCAAAAAAGAAAGCGGAGAAGCAAAAAAUUAAAAAAAAAAAAACAAAACAAAACGACACCGUUUUGUUUAUAUUCGAGGUUUGACCCGAGGCAAACAUCAGCACUCAAAAGGCAUACCAAGCACUUAUAACCAAUGACACGUGGGAAUUGGUUCCGCCGUCACGUUCGCUGUAAAUGGGUAUUCCAUGUCAAACGACACCUAAAUGGAACAACUGAUCAAUUUAAAGCUUGCUUGGUAGCGAAAGGAUUUCAUAAAUGGGCUGGCAUAGAUUUUCAUAUCACUUAGCCCUAUCAUGAAACACACCACCAUUUUGGUCAUUCUUUUCUUAACAUUACACAAUGGUUGGUCCUUGCAACAACUCGAAAUAAACAAUACCUUCUUAAGUGGCACUCUUGAUGAGGAAGUCAUUAAGAAAAAGCCUCCUGGUUUUGUUGAUACUCACCGUCGAAAUUUUGUGUGCAGGUUAAAGAAGUCAAUAUAUGUGGAUGACAGAAUUCAACAAAGCUGUUCAAAUGCUUCACUUUUCAUCUUCCAUCAUAAUGGGGUUUGUCUUAUAUUCCUAACCUAUGUGGACGACACAAUUCUCACUGGUAACAACAAUCUCGCCCUUGCCAAGUUCAUCCAUGCGCUUGGUAACACUUUUGCACUGAAAGAUCUCGGUAAUUUGCACUACUUUUUGGGAGUUGAGUUCAUCCAGACCUGUGAUGGGCUUUUUCUCUCACAAUAUUAUAUUUGAAUUUUGUUGCAAUGAUUUGACAUCUCUAAUGCUAAGCCUGUCUCAACAGCGCUGUCCUUUUCAACACCCUUAAAGAUCAAUGAUGGCUUGAACUUCGUGGAUGCUACAUUGUUUAGACAACUUAUUGGUGCUCUUCAAUAUGUUACUCUCACAUGUCCAUACAUAUGCUUUGUCGUAAACAAGCUCAACUCAGUUUCUUCGUCAACCAACAAAGCUCAAUUCGCAAGCGGAUAAGUGACUCAUAUGCUAUCCCAAGGAUACAAUUUUCUUUGGCCUCUUUUUUUGCUCACACUCCAAUACUUUGCUCACUGCCUACACUGACUCUGAUUGGGAUGACAACUUAGAUGAUCGCAGCUCAACCAGUGGCUAUGUCAUAUUCUUUUGUGGAAUCCAGUCUCACGAUCCUCCAAGACACAACGCUCCAUUGCAAGAUCAUCUACUGAAGCUAAAUUUCGGUCAAUUGCAAGCACUUUCUCUGAAAUUUGUUGGUUAUACAAUUUGUUGUUUGAACUUGCUGUCAAAAUUCCUAAACCUGUUCUCUACUGUGACAAUCUUGGAGCUACUUUUGUUUGCACCAAUCUUGUGUAUCAUUAAAAAAUAAAGCAUGUCGAAAUUGAUUUUUAUUUCAUCCGUGACAAGGUUGCAAAAAGGUUGUUGAGCAUUGUUCAUAUACCAUCCGAAAGCAGCUCGCUAACACACUCAUCAAAGCUCUUCCCCAUACUCCAUUUAUUGCUUCACGAUUCAAGUUAGGUGUUCACGACGGAAAGCCUAUCUUGUGGAGGCAUAAUAACACAACUACACCCGGUUAACAUUUUGUUUAUCUUAUGUGACAUCCUUCCUCAUGCACUUCACAAUACAUGUCACAUGCGAUGUACAAAGACUCCACUUAACAGACUAUAGACUACUUGGGAACAUUAUCUGAUAAGUGUUGAUAAUUGUAAUCUCUUUAGAAGUUUAUUACUUUAUUUAAUAAACACAAUCAGAGAAUAAGAGCAAUCUAUACAAUUUGUAUCUAUAUUAAAAGAUUCAGUUGUAUAACACUUAUUUAAUUAAUAUAAGUUUCUUUCAAGUUUUAAAUAAUUUUAUUUAAUUGGCCACUCAAAUUUGAGGCUUAGUGCGUGUAUCCAAGAUAAUACUUGAGAAGGUAGAAUGAUAGCUUUGUUGCCUCUUUAUGUUAACAGUAUGCCAGCUGAAAGGACUAAAGAGCCAAUUAGUGAAAAGAUUCCACAAGAUAAUAUACAGGGGGCCAAUGAGUUCACGCAAUUAUUAUGACACCAUUCAACCAAGUUAUGAGUGGUCAUUUUCUCCACUCGUUAACUUGUUUUUGCUACUUCUUAGAGAUUUCGUUUUUUUUCUAGUAUAUAUACUUUGUAGCACUUAUGAGAGUUCAUUAUUACAAAACAAUCUUUUUUCUCCCAUGGAAAUAAUUCAUUGUCUUAGUACGGUAAGAGUUCUCUUGGUUCCAGUGGUGGAUUUAGAAAAAUAAUUUACCAGGAACUAAAUUAAAUAACAACAAAAUGUAAAAACUGAAAUUUGAAUAUACAAAAUUUUUUAUAACACAUUUAUAAUUGUUCUCUACGUGAUUUCAUAUUCUGAAAACGUUGUGUAAUAGACUCAUUAUCAACACUAUUAUAUUACACACAUCUUUUUUUUACAUAAACAAUCAAAUUAUUAUUUAUCCAUUCAUCUCCCAUUUGAUUCCAAAGUUAAUUCUUUGCAAAUUUUAUUGCUAAAAAUGUUCUCCAUAUUCUGGUUGUAGAAACUAAAAGAAUGGGGCUAUUUGAUAAUUUGACAAGAAUUAUUUAAAAUUUAUUAAUUUUUCUUUUAAAUAAAAAGGGGUAAUAUUUUUUUUUCAGUGGGGGCUUGGGCCCCCACUGGUCCCACACUACAUCCGCCUCUGCUUGGUUCAUUGUUUGAUUCUCCCCUUUGUAAUGUCAACAGCCAACACUAGCAUUAUCACAUAUCAAGGUGCUCUUCUUUCCCUGAAAGCUUAUAUCACUCAUAACCCUAACAAUUUCUUAUCAAGAAAUUGGAACACUCCAUACCUAUUUUUUUGACCGGAUGGGGGUCAUAUUGGAAAGUAGAAUCCAUUUAUUCAUUAUAUUGAGCUAUAAGUAUAUCUUUUUAUAUGUAUUCUUAAAUUACAGUAGACUUUGAUUGCAUAGCUUAAUUAUAGGGAUCCUAGCAUAACUAUAGGAACUGAUGGUCGUGUAUAGUAAGUCAGUCAUAUGUGUAUAUAUACUCAAUCUAAUGUCAAUGAAAAUUAUUCUGCCCAUUCUACUUUUCUCUCAUACUUAGAUGGUAUCAGAGUAAGGAUUCACUGCACUUUAAUCUCUCGUAUAGCAUCUCUCUUUCAGCCAUCAUGGCCCUUGAGGAUAUUCCAAAAACCAGCAAUUCUGAUCCACAAAAAUCAGAGAUUUCUGCAGAUUCCUCCAAGGAAAAUCUCUCCAAUCCCUUCUUCACUCACUGUUCGGAUAACCCCGGAUUGAUUCUCAUCUCCAAACCUCUAAAUGGAGAUAAUUACUUUGGUUGGAAAAGGGCUAUGGUUUGAGCUUUAAACUCCAAGAACAAGCUCGGAUUUGUCAAUGGUUCUAUCACAGUUCCUUCAGAAGAAGGUGAUCCUAAAGGCUAUGCGACUUGGUCAAGAUGCAACGAUAUGGUUCAUUUCUGGAUCGCCAAUUCUUACGAUCCAGAAAUAGCUGACAGUAUGACUUGUUAUCCUAUUGCUCAUGAGGUUUGGGAAGAUUUCUAUUAGCGUUUCUCUCAAGGCAAUGCAUCUCGCAUAUUCGAGAUACAACAAGAUAUUGCUUCUCUUUGACAAGAGCAACUCUCUGUCUCUGCUUACUGCACUAAGUUGAAAAGUUUAUGGGAUGAAUUGGCAACACAUUCAGACAUAGCACAAGCCGAUCGAUAUAAAUUGAUGCAGUUUCUAAUGGAGCUUGUUGUGAAUUGAUAUGGCUUCGUUACUUACUUAGAGAUUUGGGGAUUUUACAUCAAGAGGCUGCAUUGCUAUAAUAUGACAAUAAGGUUGCAUUACAUAUAGCAGCUAAUCCAGUUUUUCAUGAACACACAAGGCACAUAGAGAUGGAUUGUCAUUGUAUAAGAGACAAGAUACAAGAAGGUUGUGUGAUAACAAGAUUUGUGAGUUCCGCAAAUCGGCUUGCUGAUAUGCUAACCAAAGCUUUGGGAAAAGAUGUUUUCAUGCCUAUGGUUCGCAAGUUUGGAGUGCUAGACAUUCACUCUCCAACUUGAGGGGUCAUAUUGGAAAGUAGAAUCCAUUUAUUUAUUAUAUUGAGCUGUAAAUAUAUUUUUCUGUAUGUAUUCCUAAAUUACAAUAGACUUUGAUUGCAUAGCUUAAUUAUAGGUAUCCUAGCAUAACUAUAGGAACUGGUGGUCGUUUAUAACAAGUCAGUCAUAUGUGUAUAUAUACUCAAUCAAAUGUCAAUGAAAAUUAUUCUGCCCAUUCUACUUUUCUCUCAUACUUACAAAAUUAGGUGAUAAUUAAGAAACAUGAAACUAUAAAAAUAUAAGUUCUUCUAUUUAUUCCAUUCUUUCUUCUUCUUCUUCUUAGUUGUAUGCAUGAAACUAUUGAUUAUUAUUUAAUUGAUAAUGAAACCGUCAUAUAUCAUUUCUAAAACAUAAAACCUUAUAUAGUCAAUAGUAUUCAAUAAAAAUCUAUCAAUAAAUGAUAAUAUAAUAUAAUUAUAGUGUCAUGUAUUUUAUGUGAAUAUUUUAAAAUUGUAUAGCAUUUAAAGAAAAAAAAAGGAUAAAAGUUUUGGAUAGGGAUAAAAAACCUCACCAACGAAACUUUAGUCUUUGCUUUCAAUUAUUAUUUGAACUACGCAAAAUACCAUCAUGGUCAGUUAAGCUGCAUUCAAGGUCUGUAUUAUAAGUUGAAUGUGACCUAGUUGAAACAAUUUUCGAGCUACUUUCUUUGGUAAUAACCAACUCCCCUUCUAGAAUCACCAACGCAUCUUCUUUACAAGGUCUUGAUUUCAAUGACAAAAUGCUAUCUAGUGAACUCCCCAAAAAUAUUGGCAGUAAUCUUCCUUUUUUGGAAUUUCUUUAUUUGUCCAAAAACAGGUUUCAUUGCAAAUACCAUCUACUUUAUCAACGUGCAUGUCUGCUAACUUUAAUAUUAUCAUCCAAUUAUUUCUUGGGAGACAUAUCAAAACAUAUAUACAACUUGAUUAGCAAAGCUUUAGGGAGUUAAAUCUUCGAUAUAACAAAUAUCGGAGUUUAAAUUGAUGAAAUUUAAUUAAUGAUGUUUCACUCAUAUUCAGCUACCUAAUUCUUAAACAAUAAUUGUUAUUAUACUCUUCGAGCAAUAAAUUCCUUUCAUGUUAUAAGAUGGAAAUUAAAUCCCUAAUUAUAUUGAAAAUUUUAUCAAUCUAGUCAUUUUUAUAAAUUUAUUAUCAAAAUUAGCCAUAUAAUAGAAUUUCUUAACAUAAUAGCCACAUGCACGUAAUUGGGACCAAAUUAUCCUUAAAACAAUCAAAUCAAAUUCCUCAUAUCCGACCUAUGUAUUUACAGGUCGACCAAUUGUAUAAUCAAUAUAGGGAUGGUUACAAUUGAGAAUUUAUAGAGUGCUCAAUAUUGAGCAUAGCUUCUAUUAAGGGAUUAAAUAUGUAUGUGCCGAUGUAGUGAAUAAUGAAAUCUAAGAUACAUAUUGAACAAGUUAUCUAAACCUCUUGUAGUAAUUGCAAUUGAGAUUGUAGCUAUCUAAAGCUCUAGUUUAUGUCGCCCAUGGGUCACACGUUGCAUUUGCUCAUAUGAUACUACCCAAAGACCCUAUUCUCGCAACUCUAUUUACCUUGUGAUCCCAUUACAUGCGAGUAGAUGUUAGAUUUAGGCGCCCAUGAUGGGCUGACUAUAUGUAAAGUAAGAGAUGGCUUAACAUUGUAGAACUUAUUGAGAAUUCAUAAGAUGUAACUUAUUGUUUUAUUUACAUCCUGAUGGCAUGAGAUCUAGCUUAUUCAAAUGACUUUGUUAAGUUUAUUUCAAUUAGAACACACUAAUUGUAAUAUAAAGACAUUACAUGGGUGAGUGAAAAUAUGUAAAAUAAAAAUCCGAAUUAUGCAAAAGAGAGUGUAGGAGAGAAAAUCAGAUAGUGUAUAUUCUUACUUUGUGAAUUGAGAGGUGUUGAAAAGUCAAGCAUGCAAAUUGAAUAAUUGUAUGUGACAGUUAGCAUGCAUUGCAUGACAAAGUUGGCACGAAUUGCCAAAUUUGUCAAUUUGGCAAUUAAAGUCAAAUUGAAGCGUGUGGUAGGUGAGCAAUGCUUCCUAUAGAUAAAAGGGUCAUUGUUCAUUUGUUUUCAUUCCAAUUUUGAGAGCAAGCAAGUGAAACAAUUUGAGAAUUUUGAGAGAGAUUCUACUUCAGUGGUGGGAGGAUUUAAUUGGGUGUAUUGGAGUUGUGGGUUUUGAGAGUUUUUCCCACUUUUGUAGAUUCUCAUUUUAUUAGUAAAAUUAUCUUCCAAUCUUUGUCCGUAAAAGUAGGCAUCAUGCUAAACCACAGAAAUUAUUUUAUCCUAUUUUCUUUACAUUUGUUUGUCACAUUAUAUUUCUCCAAAAGUCACAUGAAUCACCAGAAUAUUAGUAAUUGCUCAACCCGCGCUUCCGCAACAAGAUGAUCUUUCAACUUUGUGAUUAUCCUUCGAUGACCUCAUGACAAUAUGUUCGUGAAGGUUCCUAACAAUCCAUUCUUAAAUCUUUAAGAAUGGAAGGGAUCUGUUCUUGCAGUUGGAGGACACAUUGUGAUUUGUUCUUGCAGAUUCAUUGCGACCCGAUUGCUGAAUUGUGACUAUUUAUAUCCGCAUCAACCAACAUAUGUAUGGUUUUAGUUCAAAAAAUAAAUUUACAUGAUUGAUUUUAAAAAUCAAAAUAUACUAAAUCGAGUUGUAAUAAUCACAUUCAUAAUUGCCUGGAGUCUUGUCUUCACUCUCAAAUUUGUAUUGAUAGUCACGUUUUACAUAUAUGGUAGUGACAGUUAUAAUUUCACUUGUAGUGAAAGCAAAAAUCGAAGUGCAGUGAAACUGAGAGUUUUAAUACACAACGUUGCACGAAUAGUAUUGCUUUAACAAUAAGCGAAAGUUCCAGUGAAAGCAGAAGUUCAUCAAAUCUACCAAGAGGAAGUUUCCUCGCCCAUGUGAAAGAUAAACGCCUAAAAAUGUAAGGAGAAGUUUCAAUAUUGAGCAAAUCGCCUACGUAAGGUAAUCCGUACCCCAAGGUAUGGAGUAAUCUGUCUGGGUAAGCAAGAAGCCAAUAAGUGAAAGGUCAGGGACACUUGUGCAAGCAUCAAUUAACAUGAACAUAAAUCGCCAUAUAAUGGCAAGUGUCUCAAAAGUAAUUUAAACAUCAUUCAAAUCAACAAAAGUCAUUAUAAACUCUAUCCUUUUGGUAAAAAUUUUUAAUGAAAAAUAACUCAAAUAAAUGUUAUUUAAUUUAUACUUCUCACUCUCCAUUUUUUCUCUCCAAAAAUUUUGGUUGCUGACUUGACCGUCAAUGGUUCUCACUGGUAGCACACACCUCUGACUUUUCAUUUGCAUAUUGUAGAAUAUUCAUCGGUAAAAGUGGACCUUCCGAAAGCUUGAGGAUGAGGAGCCCAACAUAGAUGCUAAGGAAGAGAAACUCGUCCUACUCCUACCAAGAACACUUAACAAAGAUGAAUUAGUAAAUUGUAAAAAAAAAAAUGAUAUUAUUUUAAAUUUAAUUGUAUAAGUGAAUUUUGGCAAAUUAAUUCUAGGCCGAGCGGAGAAAGAUCAAAUUAUAAACUAAGAAAAGGAGUUCGUCUUAGUCCGAAAGGAAUAUCAAUAUACACAAGAUUUUAUACUUGACCAUUAGGACGAAAUUCUGAACCGCCGGUAGCCACUCAAUGUGGCCUACUUCUCCUGAUAAUAAUAAUAAUAAUAAUAAUAAUAAUAAUAAUAAUAAUGAGCAGUGCUAGAGCUAGACAUGAUAAAAUUUUAUUUUAAUAUUUAUUAACAUUCAUAAAAUAAAUAGUGAGCGAAUGUAAUUAUUUCCACUUAAAACUUGUAAAUUUUUUUAAUUGUUUGAUGAAUUACACAUUACACAUUACAUAGAAUCCAUUAAAAUAAAAUUAAUUACAUUAAUUUUAUUUAAUUGUUUGAUAAAAUUUUAAGAUAUCAAUUAUUACUCGAUAACAAUUAGUUUAGCUUUUGAGCAAAUCAUAUCUUUACAACAAAUUAUCCUUUUCAUAUAAUUUGUCAAGUCUAUUUACUUCUCAGUUCAACCCUAGCCAGUUGUUGUUGCACUUGUACGUUCAUUAAAAAAAUGUGGUGGCACAUCUUCAUAAGCAAUGCUUAUCCUGUUACCUCUUAGACCCAGAUUGUUUGCAGAAACACGAGUAAAAUUAAUUUGUUCAUUAUUCAAGUCAAACACGCACACGCUAGCAAAAAAUUCAGGGAUAUGGGCCACCAUCAAUAUGGAUAUAGAUAGAUAAAUAUAAUAGGUAACGGUAAUUAAAAGAUGUCGGUUGCUACAUUACCGCACAAAAAUAAUCAUUUAUGCUAAGACAAAUAGGGCCACAUCACGUGUACGUAUAUGUCCCCAUUCAGAUCAUAUUGUUAUUUAUAAAUUAUUAUUAAUUUAUUAUUAGCAUUUGCCUGAUCCUAAUACUAUGCCUUCAACUUUGGGAUAAUCACAAACAUAAAUGUUGUGUCCCCCUUGGUGGGUGUAUUGUUUCAAUCAGCACACAAAGACAAAUAGACAAUAUUCAUCACUUCUCAGUACGUAAUUCAAAUUUCACAAACACUAAAUUAUAAUUAAGCUCAUCGAUUUGUUGCAAUUGUUGUGGCCGAUCCAAAUGACAAACAAUAAAUGCCCAAAGUCAUCUGAUAGCCAUAUUCAGCUACUAUAAUAUACGAGUGCCGGAAAAUGUAAUCACUUACACUGCAUCACGUGUUUUUUUUUCUUUUAAAUUGUUAAUGCAGAUAAUGGGUAUAUUUUACCUUGAUCCUAAAUUAAAGGUCAAUAUAAACACAGUUCAUAUUGCUUCCCGAUUGUAAAUUAAUAUCAAUGUGAGCUGUAGUUGACCUCAGAUUUAAGGACAACAUCCAUCGGAUGAUUCAUAUGAAAGGUCAAGAAAAAAAUAAACAACAAUCAAACUAGAGAUGUUAAUAAGUAAAAGAACGUGGUUAGUAAUAAAACCACGUGUUGAAAACUCGAGUUUUUCCACCAUUUCCCCCUCUCUCAGCCAAUAAAUUAGGGCAAAAAACCUUUUGGUCAAUUUUUAGUGCAAAGUCAAAAGAAAUCAAGUUGUAAAACAAUUCUCAAUCUCCAUACACUAACUUGAGCAUUGAGGUGUCUUUUACAAUCAUGUAUUUAAGCUCAAUCAACAAAAUCCCACGAGGAUUGCAAGUUAUUCCAGAAUCUUCAAAGAAAUCAGGUAUAAUUAAUUCCUUAUUCACUUUACAUUAAUUUAUGAUACAUCCGAUCGGUGAAGGUUUACGCAUCUUCAACCACCAAAAAAAAAAAAAAAAUAUCAUCCAACUUGUAUAGUUGAUUAGAUCAAAAUAAUGUUAAAUGAUAGAGCAUAAAAUCAUAGGCAGAUUCAAAAAAUAAUUUAUUAUCUUAUUUGUAUCAACAUAAAAUCAGUGGUGGAUUUAAAAAAAUAAUUAAUGAGGACUAAAUUAAAUAAUAAAAAGAUAUAAAAAUGUUUGCAAAUAAAAUUUUCUACAUUUUUUUAACAUCAACUCGUAGCAGUAUCUUAUGUUGUAAAUUGACAUUUUAUGCUAAUAAUAAUAAACUUUAUAUUACAUAGAUAUGAAGUUUAUUACAAAAUGAAAAAUGCAUUUAUAAGAAAACUUAUCGGGAGUAAGGUUUACUCUAUGAGGGACCGACAAAAGGGAUAGCAACGCAUAAAGCCUUUGAAUACUUUCAACAAAACUUUAUUUCUUUUCGUCAAAAGAAAUUCCACCGGCUCAUGAGAAGAUUAAAGAUUCUAAAUCAUAUGAUUUUAUUCCUUUGUAAUAUUCUAAUUACUUAAUUAUUAAUUAACCAUAAUAAAACCCACAAUUCAAGCAAUUUUAAUCUAAGCAACACACGUGGAAGGUCGGUUGACGAUUGGAAGAAAGUUACAUCACAUGCAUAGGAUGUCCCGUGUUUACGUGUACUGGUGGAUCCAUCUCAUUGGUUCUUAAAUUUGAAGCCUCUAUCUUCGCCGAUGUCCCUCGUCUGUGGCAACCUAGGCGCCGUCAGAUUCUGACGCCCUUUUUCUGAUUUUCAACUUUCACAUCACGCGUCCUUGAAGACGCCACAUACACGGGCAUUUGUCCAUUUGUUAUCGAAUCCUCGUGUUUGUAUGAUUUUCAAUUAUCGUAAACAAUUUUUCUAGUUCUUUUUAAAUUUAAGGUUCUCUCUAUUUUAUUUAAAAAUAUAUAUACGUAUGUGAUUGUAAAUUAAUAAAUAAAAAUAUAAUAAUUAUGUAAAUUUUUAUUAAUAUAUAUGUGUUAAAAGAUUUUCUUUCUCAGAUAUGACUAGAUAAUAAGUGAAUCUUUAUUCUUACAAAAUAAGAUACAAAAUUUGUAAACUAAUUGAUAUUUUUUAUGAAGUGACAUUAUUUUAUUGAAAUCAUUUUAUUAUUAAUUUUUAAGUAUUAUUAACUUUUCAUAUUGAUAUUAGAUCAAUUGAGACAUGAUAAGUGCAUCAAUAACUUUUGAGAAUAAUAUUUCUUAACACUUCUCAUUAAAAAUAAUUAAAUAUGACAAAUAAAAAUAGAUCAUAAUUAAAUAAAUUUAAAAGAAAUAUGAGAACUAACACAACUUAAAAUUAAAGGACUAAAUGAGGAUUCUCUUUUACAUAUUAUUAUAAAAGAAAGCAAAUCAGAUCUUCAAACCAAUAUAUUAAUUACAAAAUUUUAACUGGCAAGACCAAAAAGAUGAAUCUAAAGUGUGAAUGCGCGUGGCUUAAAAGAAGAAAAGUUAUGGAUAAUCGUUAAAAUAUUUUUUAAAAAAUCAACAUUUAAUUAUUUAUAUCUAAUGUGGGCACAGCCCCAGCCCCCAGCACAUGGGAAAGUUGCCUUUAGCAUCACUAGUGCCAUUGGGUGAGCUGUCCUUGUGAUUUCAUAAAACAAAAGUGAGAUUUCACACUUCAAUAGAGCUUUGGUCUAUCAAAUAUCUAGCCAAUGAAAGGAUAUAGUAAAUGGAUUUUUUUUUAAAAUUUUUCUUUUUCAAUUAGUGACAUAGAUAGUCAGAUAUUUCCUGUACCUAGUCUAAAUUGAUUAUAACGUAGUUCAAAUAUUUGGACUAAAAAUAAUUAUUUUUUGUCUUCAAAUUUCAAUGAAAUGUAAAUUCUAAAUCUCAUGAAAAACGAUGGAUUUAAAUAUUUAGCUAUAUAUAUAUAUAGUCAAAUUACGGCUUCGAAACUAAAUAUUUUACUCAAAAUUUGAAACUAUGACACUUAUAACUUCAAAAAUUAUUAUUGAUAUUGUUUAAUGAAAUAUUUAUCACGAUUUUUUCGGGAUUAAAUUUAAUGUGACACAACUCAAAUGUUUCAAUCUAAAGACCAAAUUUACUCUCAAAUAAGGGGGGAAAAAAAAAACCAAAAACCUGUAAUUGAUCCACCAUCUUAAAAGUAUAAAUCACUAAUUAAGCAAUUAAAGUAAAAAAAAAAAAUCGAGAAAAUUCCAAAGAGUUGUAGCAUACAUGAUUAAGGAAACUAAUUGAACCGCGUAUGAUUCGUGAAAACGAAACACAAAAUUAAAAAGGUACGUGUUUAGUGUGUCUGAUAAUCAAAACAAGACACGUGUACGAAUCCUUUCGGAUUCUCUUCGCAACUCUUCUCUAUAUAAGUCCCCAUCGUCCCUCUCUGCAGUUACAUAACACAAAGGCAGUUACUCAAAUUGAAAAAACACACAUUCCUUUAAAAUCUUCAAUCAAAGUUUCUUGCUUUUGACUCUUUAAAUUUCACUUGAUUUUUUUUUUUUUUUUUGUAAGAAUCAAUCAAAGAUGGCAGAUGAAGGCACAGCAACAUGCAUUGAUAUUAUCUUGGCUAUCAUUUUGCCUCCUCUCGGUGUCUUUCUCAAAUUUGGCUGCAAGGUAACGUAACUAGUUCUUCUCUUUUGGGGGUGUUUUUAAAAUUUUAUUUUAUUAAAAACAUUCUGAAGAUAUAUAAGAAUUCGCUAAAAAAAUUUGUCUGUUUGUAAUCGUUAAUGCAAUGGUUUGUGCAGGUUGAGUUUUGGAUCUGUUUGCUGUUGACAAUUUUCGGGUAUAUCCCUGGAAUUAUUUAUGCUGUUUAUGCCAUCACCAAGAAUUGAUCUCUCUCUUCUUAUU
Molecule: long non-coding RNA, 41952 nt
Filed under: Citrus sinensis (sweet orange)
Lineage: Eukaryota; Viridiplantae; Streptophyta; Magnoliopsida; Sapindales; Rutaceae
Description: long non-coding RNA (CSIN_LNC002461)
Source: RNAcentral